Molecule: small nuclear RNA, 165 nt
Organism: Prosopis cineraria
Lineage: Eukaryota; Viridiplantae; Streptophyta; Magnoliopsida; Fabales; Fabaceae
Product: U1 spliceosomal RNA
Exons: 1
Source: RefSeq, a predicted model, not a curated record
AUACUUACCUGGACAGGGUCAAUGGGUGAUCAAAGAGGCCCAUGGCCUAGGUUGACGGCCUCCAUUGCACUUUGUGAGGGGUGUCAUCCUAAGGUCUCCCUAAAUUGGGAGAGCCUAUGUCAUAAUUUGUGUUAGUGUGGGGGUUUGCGUUCGCGCAGCCCCUAC